RNAcentral lists this ribosomal RNA (925 nucleotides) under Plasmodium inui. RNAcentral describes it as "SSU rRNA". It matches the Rfam family "Eukaryotic small subunit ribosomal RNA", at positions 174 to 1051 of the family's 1831-position model. Lineage: Eukaryota; Apicomplexa; Aconoidasida; Haemosporida; Plasmodiidae. The record is from RNAcentral.
UUCUUGAGUGUGUACUUGUUAAGCCUUUUAAGAAAAAAGUUAUUAACUUAAGGAAUUAUAACAAAGAAGCAACACGUAAAUGGAUUUUCCAUUUUUUAGUGUGUAUCAAUCGAGUUUCUGACCUAUCAGCUUUUGAUGUUAGGGUAUUGGCCUAACAUGGCUAUGACGGGUAACGGGGAAUUAGAGUUCGAUUCCGGAGAGGGAGCCUGAGAAAUAGCUACCACAUCUAAGGAAGGCAGCAGGCGCGUAAAUUACCCAAUUCUAAAGAAGAGAGGUAGUGACAAGAAAUAACAAUACAAGGCCAAUCUGGCUUUGUAAUUGGAAUGAUGGGAAUUUAAAACCUUCCCAAAACUCAAUUGGAGGGCAAGUCUGGUGCCAGCAGCCGCGGUAAUUCCAGCUCCAAUAGCGUAUAUUAAAAUUGUUGCAGUUAAAACGCUCGUAGUUGAAUUUCAAAGAAUCGAUAUUUUAAGUAACGCUUUGUAGAUUAAUCCACAUAACUGAUACUACGUAUCGACUUUGUGCGCAUUUUUUUACUUAUGUGUUCUUUUAAUUAAAAUGAUUCUUUUUAAGAUCUUUCUUUUUUGCUUCGGCAUUUUAGGAGAUCUUGUUACUUUGAGUAAAUUAGAGUGUUCAAAGCAAACAGAUUAUAGCAUCUUUAUGCGUUUGAAUACUACAGCAUGGAAUAACAAAAUUGAACAAGUCAGAAUUUUGUUCUUUUUUCUUAUUUUGGCUUAGUUACGAUUAAUAGGAGUAGCUUGGGGGCAUUUGUAUUCAGAUGUCAGAGGUGAAAUUCUUAGAUUUUCUGGAGACAAACAACUGCGAAAGCAUUUGCCUAAAAUACUUCCAUUAAUCAAGAACGAAAGUUAAGGGAGUGAAGACGAUCAGAUACCGUCGUAAUCUUAACCAUAAACUAUGCCGACUAGGC